AGUGAACGCUGGCGGUAGGCCUAACACAUGCAAGUCGAACGGCAGCACAGAGGAGCUUGCUCCUUGGGUGGCGAGUGGCGGACGGGUGAGGAAUACAUCGGAAUCUACUCUGUCGUGGGGGAUAACGUAGGGAAACUUACGCUAAUACCGCAUACGACCUACGGGUGAAAGCAGGGGACCUUCGGGCCUUGCGCGAUUGAAUGAGCCGAUGUCGGAUUAGCUAGUUGGCGGGGUAAAGGCCCACCAAGGCGACGAUCCGUAGCUGGUCUGAGGGGAUGAACAGCCACACUGGAACUGGGACACGGUCCAGACGCAUACGGGAGGCAGCAGUGGGGAAUAUUGGACAAUGGGCGCAAGCCUGAUCCAGCCAUACCGCGUGGGUGAAGAAGGCCUUCGGGUUGUAAAGCCCUUUUGUUGGGAAAGAAAUCCAGCUGGCUAAUACCCGGUUGGGAUGACGGUACCCAAAGAAUAAGCACCGGCUAACUUCGUGCCAGCAGCCGCGGUAA
RNAcentral lists this ribosomal RNA (506 nucleotides) under uncultured bacterium. Its description in RNAcentral is "partial 16S ribosomal RNA". It matches the Rfam family "Bacterial small subunit ribosomal RNA", at positions 29 to 523 of the family's 1533-position model. The record is from RNAcentral.